UCAGUGUAUUUAGCUCAGUUGGUAGAGCAUUGGACUUCUAAUCCAAAUGUCCCGGGUUCGAUUCCCGGAAUCUGGA
This 76-nucleotide transfer RNA is filed under the name Desulfococcaceae bacterium HSG7. Its description in RNAcentral is "tRNA-Arg". The stretch from base 8 to 71 matches the Rfam family "tRNA", at positions 5 to 66 of the family's 71-position model. From Rfam's summary of the family: Transfer RNA (tRNA) molecules are approximately 80 nucleotides in length. Their secondary structure includes four short double-helical elements and three loops (D, anti-codon, and T loops). Lineage: Bacteria; Pseudomonadati; Thermodesulfobacteriota; Desulfobacteria; Desulfobacterales; Desulfococcaceae. The record is from RNAcentral.